This 1326-nucleotide long non-coding RNA is filed under the name Piliocolobus tephrosceles (Ugandan red Colobus). RNAcentral describes it as "lncRNA (ENSPTEG00000008685.1)". The record is from RNAcentral. Lineage: Eukaryota; Metazoa; Chordata; Mammalia; Primates; Cercopithecidae.
AUAUACAAGUAUGUAUGUAAAUAUAUAUAUAAAUAUAUAUGAAUUUUUUUUUUUUAGAAAUAUGAUAAGACAUUAGAUAUGCUAAUUAUGCUUCUCAUAUUUUGGAGUUGUUUAGAAAUACUGCUUCAUUUGUUAAUGAAGACAUUUUAUACUUUCCAUUUCAUAUUUUUUGAUAUUAUAUCACUAAUACUGCUUUUUUUUGAUUUAUUUGUUUUUGAACGUCACAUGUUCAACUUUUUUUGCUAUUUAACAAAAAGGUAAGUAUUAUAAAUAUACAUACAUGUAUAUAUGUUUGUGCACAUAUAUAUAUAUAUAUAUAUAUAACUUCAUGGAAGUUUUAUCUUUGUUAUUUUUUUGUUUUUCAUUAUUACAUGUGUCAUGUAUUAAAAAUGCUUAGCUAAUUAUCACUUGCAUAGUCGCGCACUUAUAUUUAUGUACACAAUUACACAUUUACUUAUUCUUUCAAUUUUUUUACUGCUCUCUUUUUUCUGUAUUAAUUGUCUUAGUAUAUAUAACAUAAAAGAAAUCAGCAAUGAAACUAUAUUUUAUUUAGUACAACUAUUUAAAGCUUUAAAAGUUACUAAAAUCUAUAGUAUUAUUAUAAAACUUGUUCAAAGUCGCACUAAGCAGAAUUACAAGCACCGGAACGAAUGGAAUUUUGAAAAAAUGGAAAGCAUGAAACGUAUGAAAACUUUAAAGGAAAGUCUAAAGUUUACAAAUAAAGUCCACUUGACUAUAAUAAGAAGAUACUUUAUGUCUAUAUUUUUUCUAUUACUAUCAUAUAUUUUCAUAGAAAUGAUAUCGACUUCAAAGAAUAAUCAUAACUCGAUGGACUACUUUGUUUACAACUUAGAUUUAAUUUCUUUUGACGAUUAUUAUGAAACAGAGUUUUUGAAAGCGCUCUAUUAUUAUAGUGUACGAUAUAUAAUGAAAAAUAUAAAAAAAUAAAAAAGAGAGAGAGAGAAAGAAAGAUUUAAAAUAGUUACAAGGAGCAUGUAUACUAGUGUGCCGAUAUGAUUUUUUUAAUACAUUUAUAAAUAUAUAUAUAUUUAUAUAUGUGCGUCUACGCAUGGAGAAUAUACAACACCACUAUGUUUUGUUUUAUUUUGUUUUGUUUUAACUCGUUUCGUUUUUAUAUUGUUUUUAGACAAUUCAGAAAAACAAUGAUACGGGUGAAUAUUUAAUAAGUUUUAAAUCUAAAAAGAAGUUAAAAAAUUUUAUAAACAGAAAGGAAAUUAAUUUAAAAGGAAAUGAACAUGUUCUAUGGGAUUUUACAAAUUUGUAUUAUGUAAUAAAAAAAAAAAAUAAAAAAUAAAUAAAAAAAUA